This is a long non-coding RNA of Neopsephotus bourkii (Bourke's parrot), 1172 nucleotides long. RefSeq lists it as uncharacterized. The record is from RefSeq and is a predicted model, not a curated record. The transcript has 3 exons. Lineage: Eukaryota; Metazoa; Chordata; Aves; Psittaciformes; Psittacidae.
UUUAUGAGGUAAAGCUGUGACCAGAAGUGUUGAGGGAGUCUUUCCCAAAAGGCUGAAGUGCUGUGGAAGUCUGAAGCCUGUUGCUCUGAGGUAUGAGUCACUGAAAAAAUACCAGUCAUGUAUUUGUAAGCCUUCACCAUCUGCUCCAACAAGGAAGAAAAACUCAUGCAGAAGCAGGACUUUUCCUUCAUUGUGUUGGGAAUAAGCAAAUCAGGUAUGAGGCAUCUGAAUUCUUCAUAAAUGAAGAAGUAACUUUCUUGCUCAAAUCUUGUGGAUCUUGGGAAUCCCUUUGAAAGCUGUGCAUGUGACAAGGCUCUAGUUAUGCAGUGCAUAGACUUCUGAUAAGUCACAACAGGCGUACAUGUAAGUCUGCUGUAGUUCACUUAUUAAUCAUCAGUUUUUGCCUUCCUAAUAUGUUUGUGUCUUGCAAAUCAUGCUGCCUACUUCAACUGCAUUCUUCUUCUGCCUUAGCCACGGAAAGAACGGUAAGCACAGCAGUUUGUCAGACACUGUAGAUGUUCUUCAAGUUAGCUUCUCUCUUGACCUUGGAAAAAAACACGUCAUAUUAGAGUUGUUCUGAUGUAUCAUGGCUUUGGUAGAUCUACUUUGAUAUUCUGCCUUCAGCAGUGACAAACAUGAAGGGCUCUGUAGCAAGGGGUACUUCACUUGCCUUGUUUGUUCAGUAUUCUAAGUUGUUGCCACAUGGGGUCCUCCUUUGGACCUUCAGGCAUUUGGUGUAUACACUGGGGCAGGAGAUUUAAUUUAGCUCGUCACAGUUUGAGCUGGCAUUCAAUACAAACAUUAUUAAUGGUCAUAAAAAUUACCCAACCUUUUUAAAAUUCCAGUCACGUUAUUUGACUCAAUGACCUCCUGUGAAAGUCAGUUGUGCAAUCCGACUAUGUAUUACAGAAAGAAGUACCAGGAUAGCAUCCUUGAAUGUGAAAUGUGAACUCUGUCUUAAAAGAUAAGCACUUAACUGUUCACUAGAAGAGCAUUUAAAGUACAAGUUAGUAUCUAAUCAGAAAUUAUUAUUAUUAUUUGUACUGUACCAUUCCCUCAGGAUUAUGGAAGAGCCAUCACACAUAGUUGUACAAACAGAUUAUACAAGGCAGUUUCUUCCCAAACAAUUGCAUGGAUAAGCAGCAAAACCAGAAACUGGGAAAAGAAUCAUA